Molecule: ribosomal RNA, 253 nt
Filed under: uncultured bacterium
Lineage: Bacteria
Description: partial 16S ribosomal RNA
Rfam family: Bacterial small subunit ribosomal RNA
Source: RNAcentral
GACGAACCGUCCAAACGUUGUUCGGAAUUACUGGGCGUAAAGCGUGUGUAGGCGGUCUGCUAAGUCGGGUGUGAAAGCCCCGGGCUCAACCCGGGAAGUGCACUCGAAACUGGCAGGCUAGAGUACUGGAGAGGUUGGUGGAAUUCUCGGUGUAGAGGUGAAAUUCGUAGAUAUCGAGAGGAACACCGGUGGCGAAGGCGGCCAACUGGACAGAUACUGACGCUGAGACUCGAAAGCGUGGGGAGCAAACAGG